ACUCAAAGGAAUUGACGGGGACCCGCACAAGCGGUGGAGCGUGUGGUUUAAUUCGAGGCUACGCGAAGAACCUUACCCAGGCUUGACAUCCUUGUCGCCAUUCUAAGAAAUUAGAAUUUCAUUUAGUUGGACAAGUGACAGGUGAUGCAUGGCCGUCGUCAGCUCGUGUCGUGAGAUGUCAGGUUAAGUCCUUCAACGAGCGCAACCCUCGUGAGCAGUUGUAUAUGUCUGCUCAGACUGCCCUGGUAACAGGGAGGAAGGAGGGGAUGAUGCCAGGUCAGCAUGUCCCUUACGCCUGGGGCUACACACACGCUACAAUGGCCGGUACAAUGGGCUGCCAAGUCGCAAGACGGAGCUAACCCCAUCAAAACCGGUCCAAGUUCGGAUUGUAGGCUGCAACUCGCCUGCAUGAAGCUGGAAUCGCUAGUAACCGUAGGUCAGCACACUACGGUGAAUACGUUCCCGGGUCUUGCACACACCGCCCGU
RNAcentral lists this ribosomal RNA (486 nucleotides) under uncultured bacterium. RNAcentral's name for it is "partial 16S ribosomal RNA". It matches the Rfam family "Bacterial small subunit ribosomal RNA", at positions 899 to 1397 of the family's 1533-position model. The record is from RNAcentral.